RNAcentral lists this ribosomal RNA (494 nucleotides) under uncultured bacterium. RNAcentral describes it as "bacterial SSU rRNA". It matches the Rfam family "Bacterial small subunit ribosomal RNA", at positions 30 to 525 of the family's 1533-position model. The record is from RNAcentral.
AUUGAACGCUGGCGGCGUGCUUAACACAUGCAAGUCGAGCGGUAACAGGUGUAGCAAUACAUGCUGACGAGCGGCGAACGGGUGAGUAAUGCUUCGGAAUCUUCCUCGUAGUGGGGAACAACCUGGGGAAACUCAGGCUAAUACCGCAUACGAACUACGGUUGAAAGCAGGGGAUCGCAAGACCUUGCGCUAUGAGAUGAGCCGAAGUCGGAUUAGCUAGUUGGUGAGGUAAAGGCUCACCAAGGCGACGAUCCGUAGCUGGUCUGAGAGGACGACCAGCCACACUGGGACUGAGACACGGCCCAGACUCCUACGGGAGGCAGCAGUGGGGAAUAUUGGACAAUGGGCGCAAGCCUGAUCCAGCGACGCCGCGUGGGGGAUGAAGGUUUUCGGAUUGUAAACCCCUUUCAUGAGGAAAGAUAAAGUGGGUAACCACUUAGACGGUACCUCAAGAAGAAGCCACGGCUAACUUCGUGCCAGCAGCCGCGGUAAAG